GUAGCCGUGUGUUAACGUCUUUAAGAUGCCCAUUACAUAGCCAAAUACACGGCGCAACCUUGUAGCAUGCGGGCGAACAGGCAGCUAAUCGUCGGAGUCCCUCCUCUUCCCGGACGCGAAUCACUUCCUAGUAAGGUGAAACAAAUCAAACCCUAGUCUCCAAAUACAUUCUCAGCGAUUGUUUAGACCACUCAAAUGCCAAACUCUAAUGUGUUAGUAACAGCAGACUCGCCUAAGUAGCCUACUAAACCCCCGCUGAAAAUAUAAGACUUUAGUGAGGAUUUUAUUUUGAAAGAGGCACGUUCAUGGAUUCAAGCAUGCGUUGGCAGUAGGCUGUUAUGUUGCCAAAAUAUGGUUAUGAUCGCUUGCUCUCACGUUUUAAACCCUGGAGCAAUUGGACAGCAUAUAGCCUAACUGUGACCAAUCCAUAAAGUCAAGAUAGCCUAACACCUCUUCUCAAAUUUGACUCCAUGUUGAAUACCCUGAGAUCAUAACCUUUACAAAAUUAGUCUGGAUGAAAACUGUUAGCCUUAUAGAUUAGUAACUUAUGUUGUGAUAGGCUAUGCGUAAGUUGAUGUAGCCUAUAUCCAUAUCUCAAAAUAAGAAUUUGACAUUGCUUAUCAAGCCACUGAUUCCAAGCUUUCUUUGUCAAUCCUUCGUUUUUUAAGUAGAGGGGAAAAACAAGACAAUUAAAAAGAUUGACAGGUAGGGUUCUACUGCCGGAGUGACGCUUGUAGCGCUUGUAGCGAGGGGAGGAGUGUAGCGGAGAAACGCUACUCGAUGCGUCUGUCCAUCAGUUGAUGCUGUCUGAAACGCUUCUGGAUCCGCUGCGCUUCAGUUUUUUCCCUCGGAGCAGCAGAGAAGACGUCGGCUAGCGCACUCCCUGGAGUUUACAGAAGAGAAAUUAGUUCAUGUCGAUCUGUCCGCGAGGGUGGACGCCUUCACGUUGUUUGUUUCUUUUAGUAGCGGGCGCCUCACCUCGCCAACCACCCGCGAAUGUCUGCCUAGACCAGAGGCCAGUGAGAAUCAUUUUCACGACUCCCAAUAUCUGAUGUUCGAGAAGCGCUGGUACGGAAAUACAUUUCACACGCUUUCGCUCACAUUGGACUUAUUUGUUUUGUUACAAUCCGAGUUCAUUUCUUUUUGGGGGAGAGAAGGCGUCACAAAGUAGCCCAACAACACCGUGAGAUAGAUAGUGAUUUCAGCCGCGGUGGCAGCAGCGGAGUGACUGAAACUUGGCUCUGAUGUCUGACGCUUUUUUCUGCGACUGAGAUGAGCGAAGAUGGUCUUUUAUAGACACUACACGACCUGGAACCACCCCAACGCUGUUGUAAUUUCUCAGAAACUUUUUUCUUUUUCUUUUGUGUGUUUGAUCAUUCGCCUGUAUUGGUGAAAAAAAAACAUUAGACAAAGCUGCACGUUGUCAGGUGGGCUGAAUUCUUAAAUUAGUAAAGAUACAAAAAACAAACAAACAGGCAACAGAACGGUAAAAUAAACUACUGACAGUUGUUUACGACAGAAAACUACGGGAUGGUUUUUCUCCACUGACAGACUGGUUAUUUUAGUUCCUGCAUGAGAAUCAUUGUGGAGAGUGACGGACACUAUGCCAAGGAGAAAGCAACAAGAGCCGAGGCGAUCCGCAGGAGUGAAAGAUAGAGAAGGGGAGUCGGAGGGUGACUGACUGGCUGGGAAGAACAUUCAACCAGUGCUCCCUUUUUCACUCUCUCACUAUCUCUCUACCUCUCUCUACCUCUCUCUCAUUCUUUCUCUCUCCUAAUAUCCGUCUGCCUGUCUAUCCACUGGAUAUAAUAUAAAGAAAACUGGAAGAGAGACUUCAAUGUGUACUGAUGGACCCACAGCAUGAAAGUCUCUCAAUCUACACAUACAAUACAAUACAUACACACCUCUUCCGUGAUGAUUCCCAGCUGAUCCUGCAUGUAAACACCAUGUCACCUUGACCCCUGUGUCAUGGUGCAUAUUGAUCCCGACGGUCUCUGACGGUGUGUUCAUAAGGGGUCACGGCAGGGUCAAUCCCAGGCCGACAAGCACAGUUUACACUAUCUCUGUAUCAUGUCGGCUGUGCAGAGAGGACACACACACUAUGAUUGUCUGCUAGAACAAAUACAAAAUGCACACCAGCUGGUGCAACACAGGGUUUUGUUACUGAUCUGUCUCACACUGUAGUCUGAGAGAGGGAAAGACACAGACAGAGGGAGAGGGAGAGGGAGAGAGAGAGGGAGAGGGAGGUACAGAUACAGAAAGAGAGAAGUAGAGCGAGAGAUUUAUAGAAAGAGCGGUUGGAGGAGUGCUAAACGUCGGUUGAGUUUGGAAUGAGAGCUGAUCAUUGAGAAGGUUUCCAGGAGAGGCCACUCAGACAGAUGGACCCCUAAGAUCCUACAGGACUUUGUGUUUUGUGUGUUGUUGUAUAUUUUUGAUAGACGCUAUAAUAGGUACAUAUAUUUAUACAGUAUGUAACUUUGUUUUUAUGUGUGUCUAAGGGUUGAGGAGUGUCUCCAAGAUAAAUGUUUUUUAUCUUCGAGACAAGACUAUUCUGUGGCUUCUUAGUCACGUUUCCAGGUUUUUCUUAAGCAUUGCAAGCACUCGCUAAAAGUUCAAACCUCACACUUGAGAGUUGCAAUGGACAUUACACUAUUUUUUUGUAACAAGUUAAUGUUAUACGCUAAUGAACCUCAUGUCAUUAACACAAGGCCUAUCACUUGACAGUUUUGUAAUAAUAAGAUAUUGCUCAGCCAAUUGUGUGUGUUACUGCAUCUGUGUGUGUGUUCUAUUUGUGUGUGUGUGUGUAUGUGCCAUCUUUCAAAUGUUACUUGAGACAGUAAAUUGGCCCAGAUUUCCAUAAUGUAUAUUUAGUUUUCGUGGAGAGACCAUUUAUAUGUAAUGUUUCUAUUUCAGAUGUAGGUUUAUAGUGCGUAAUUAAUUUAAUUUACGACUGUCCAUAGUUAAUUCGAGUCAAUUUAACAACGUGUGUGUGUGUGUGUGCAUGCGUGUGUGUGUGUGCAGUUCUCAUGCGGACGUUAGGCUGAAGUGAGAUUCGUCCUUGACUUAGAAGCCUCAACCAGUAGUAAUGAGGAUGAGAACGAUUGUUUUAAAAAAAAAAAAAAAAGGGGGGGGGGGAAAGAGUGAUCUUUCAUUUAAAGGCUG
Long non-coding RNA from Osmerus eperlanus (European smelt), 3162 nucleotides. RefSeq lists it as uncharacterized. The transcript is spliced from 3 exons. The record is from RefSeq and is a predicted model, not a curated record. Lineage: Eukaryota; Metazoa; Chordata; Actinopteri; Osmeriformes; Osmeridae.